Long non-coding RNA from Centruroides sculpturatus (bark scorpion), 188 nucleotides. RefSeq lists it as uncharacterized. The transcript has 2 exons. The record is from RefSeq and is a predicted model, not a curated record. NCBI's taxonomy places the organism in Eukaryota, Metazoa, Arthropoda, Arachnida, Scorpiones, Buthidae.
UAGAAAUUCAAAGACAUCAAAGUGGAUCAAAAGAUUCCCUCGUUAAACCACCGCUUCUUGAUAUCCACAAAGGCAAACCACUCAAACUUUUGGUUCGAGUUUUGGUCCCUGUUAAAGAUCAUCCAAAUUUCAAUUUUGUCGGCAAACUUUUGGGACCAAAAGGUAACUCUCUCAAGAGGUUACAAGAA